AUUGAACGCUGGCGGCAUGCUUUACACAUGCAAGUCGAACGGCAGCGCGGGCUUCGGCCUGGCGGCGAGUGGCGAACGGGUGAGUAAUGCAUCGGAACGUGCCCAGUAGUGGGGGAUAGCCCGGCGAAAGCCGGAUUAAUACCGCAUACGACCUGAGGGUGAAAGCGGGGGACCGACAGGCCUCGCGCUAUUGGAGCGGCCGAUGUCGGAUUAGCUAGUUGGUGGGGUAAAGGCUUACCAAGGCGACGAUCCGUAGCUGGUCUGAGAGGACGACCAGCCACACUGGGACUGAGACACGGCCCAGACUCCUACGGGAGGCAGCAGUGGGGAAUUUUGGACAAUGGGGGCAACCCUGAUCCAGCCAUGCCGCGUGCGGGAAGAAGGCCUUCGGGUUGUAAACCGCUUUUGUUCGGGAAGAAAUCCUCUGGGCUAAUACCCCGGGGGGAUGACGGUACCGGAAGAAUAAGCACCGGCUAACUACGUG
This 484-nucleotide ribosomal RNA is filed under the name uncultured bacterium. Its description in RNAcentral is "partial 16S ribosomal RNA". It matches the Rfam family "Bacterial small subunit ribosomal RNA", at positions 28 to 507 of the family's 1533-position model. The record is from RNAcentral.